CGUACUAGUACAGCGCGUCUCGCUCGUUGACGUGUUUACGUGAGGGUCGUUCAUCGCUCACAUUAGCGAGUAGCUUUGUUAUCUGGAGAAUAUGUGGGACAGAACCAGAUAGUCGUCGUCAUUCAAGUGUGCUCACUUUAAACCUGCUUUGUGUCGUUAUUUCUCACAUCUGCAGCCUGGAUUAAAAUGACCGAUUUGACAGAUUCCCUGGUGAAAGAGGGCUGGUACCUCAGCGAUGAAGGCAUAGCAGAGCUGAAAGGAUCAGCUGAGACAGUAACGCACAGUGACAUUAUUCGUAUUGCGCUUGAUAGCGAUCUUCGGCCCAUCGGGAGAAAAUUUCUCCCGUCUGACAUCAACAGUGGCAGAACUGAGAAGUUGGAGGGUCCGUGUGUUCUCCAGGUGCAGAAGGUGAGAAACGUCUCGGCUCCAAAAGACCAUGAAGAGUCCCAGGGCGCACCGCGAAUGCUGCGCCUACAGAUGACAGAUGGUCACACCACCUGCAUCGGAUUGGAGUUUAAACAUCUGUCUAAGAUCAGUCUUAAUACUCCCCCCGGAACAAAAGUGAAGCUUCUCGGGACAGUCCAGGUCAAAAAUGGGUUUCUGAUACUCGACGACGCUAAAAUCUCCGUCCUCGGAGGCGAGGUGGAUCACAUGGUGGAGAGAUGGGCACUACAAAGGAGUCUGGCCAAACACAGCAGGAGUAACAUUGGAGCAGAAGGUGGACCCCCUCCGUUUGUGCCAUUUGGUCAGAAGUGUGCCAGGAAGGAUGAAGUGGACAGCAGAGACCUGGACCAGAGGAAGACCCUUCAGAUACACGCUGUGGUCAAAAGUGCCGAUGAGAAUGACGAGUUUGAAAAGCAGCGGACGGCUGCUAUCGCAGAAAUCGCCAAGACUAAAGAGGGCCCACGUACUUUCGGCGGCGGAGGAAACGCCGGCGGUAAUUUAUCCAACGCUGCUUCGUCCUACCGGGGCCGAGACUCGUACCAGCAGAGGAGACGGGAAGACAGAGUCGAAAGGCCAGAAAGCAGACAAGAUGGAAACUACAGAGAGCUGGUGGACGAACGUGCUCUCAGAGACAUCAUGGAGAUGGGCUUCAACAGAGAGGCUGCUCGACAGGCUUUGAUGGAUAAUAAUAACAACCUUGAAGUGGCACUAAACAGCCUACUGACUGGAUCCUCUGGUAGCAGACCCGCGGCGCCCGAAUAUAACAAGCCGCCACCCAGAGGCAGAGGAAAGGGAAGAGGCAGGUCCAGAAAUCAAGACGAGGAGGAGGGAGCCGGGGGAAGGCCAUCUGGCCCGAGCACUCUGUUUGACUUUCUGGAAUCCAAGAUGGGAGUUUUUUCCAUUGAUGAGCCAAAGAGCCAGGCACCACAGAGACAUCACGAGAACAGAGCCAAUUUCUCCCACUCAGACUAUUUCACCAAAGACUCGCCUCAGUCCAAGUUCUCCUCGCAUAAUGAUCACAGGCAGCAAAGGAACGACAGGCCGCCUCGCUUCCACAGGGACACGGAUUUCCCCAAACCCGGCCAGGAGCCUCUCUCCAACCCCGCAACCUCCCAACCGUCGGCCCAGUCCCAGCAGUGGAAGGGCCAGGAGAGGUGGUCGCGAGGGGCACCGGACAGGUCGCAGAAUGACAGGAGAGACGUGCGAGACGAGCAGGCUUUUCCUUCGCCCUUCGCGGCUACUUUCACGCAUUCAAAAGAACCUCAGCAGCCGAUGGAGUUCAGCGGGUCUUACCACCAGCGACCCAGAAACGGGGACGCCGGUGGGAACGCGUCCGGGCCGCCUCAGAGGAGAGGGGUGAAAGAUGGCGCGCCCACGUCCAGAGUGGGUAAUUCUGCGGGGAGCGAAGCGGACGGGAGAGGAAGUCAUAAACGCACGGAGAGAAAUGAAGAAUUCAACAACGGCAGGAGGAAGGGGAAGGUUGAUCGGCCGAACUCGGAUCACUUCGAUCGACAGAGGGACGGCGGGCAGGCGAACUUCAAAUCGAGGGGAGGAAGCUCGGAGGCUUCGCAGGAAGCGGGGUUGCCGCAGGGUUCCCGGAUAACGACGGGCGAUCCCGCUCAUUUCCAGAACGGAGAUGUGGUGGAACACAAAAGGACUGGGCCCAUCAAGCCGAGCUCGUCCUGUCCGCCCAGCCGGGAGCCUCCCCCCAGGCGGAACACCCCCACCAACAACCCGGGUCCUAAAAGAAGGCCGGGACAAGGCAAAGGUCAAGGGCCGCGAGGAUCCGAGAAAGGUCACGGCGUGGAACGUGGUUGGAAACCUGGAGACCGGUGCUUGGCUCUGUACUGGGAAGAUGGAAAGUUUUACCAUGCCAGAAUAGAUGCUGUGCAUCCGUCAGGCUCCACGGCUGUGGUUGUAUUUAGUGAUUAUGGAAACUGUGAAGAGGUCCUCCUGCAUAACAUCAAACCUGUGUCACCCGAUGUGUUGUAACACAUCACAAAACUAUCAAAUGCACGUUGGCAGGAGGAAGAUGAUGGUUACUAUGACAGUUCAUUAGAGUUUCGCCGUGGGGGAGAUGGGCAACCAAGACGCACGAGACCAACGCAGCAGUACUACCAGCCACCCAGGGCGCGGGAUUGAUGCGUCUGGUUUACAGUGUGCUUGUCCAUGAUCCCUCCACUUUCCGCAACAAUCCAGAGUGCUUCCUGAAGUGUCCUCCUCGCCGGGACGUACUGAACUAAUUCAAAGGGCUUGCGAAUCAUGCAAAAAUGCAAGAAAAACUGACAUGAGUUCAAGGACAUAUCGACUGUAUAUGUUGUGAAGAUUUGUUUAAUGGAUGCUGAAAAAUGAAGAUUUGUUUAAUGGAUGCUGACAAAAUAAACAUAAUACUGUUAGUAUGUA
This is an RNA transcript of Mugil cephalus (flathead mullet), 2847 nucleotides long. It is a transcript of the gene named tudor domain containing 3, with no coding region annotated. The record is from RefSeq and is a predicted model, not a curated record. The transcript has 14 exons. NCBI's taxonomy places the organism in Eukaryota, Metazoa, Chordata, Actinopteri, Mugiliformes, Mugilidae.